This 339-nucleotide unclassified non-coding RNA is filed under the name soil metagenome. RNAcentral's name for it is "partial contains 5.8S ribosomal RNA, internal transcribed spacer 2, and large subunit ribosomal RNA". The stretch from base 1 to 120 matches the Rfam family "5.8S ribosomal RNA", at positions 35 to 154 of the family's 154-position model. The record is from RNAcentral.
GAUGAAGAACGUAGUGAAAUGCGAUACGUAGUGUGAAUUGCAGAAUUCAGUGAAUCAUCGAAUCUUUGAAUGCACAUUGCACCUCUCGGUAUUCCGGGAGGUAUGCCUGUUCGAGCGUCAUUUGUACCCUCAAGCUCUGCUUGGUGUUGGGUGUUUGUUCCGCCUCUGUGUGUGAACUCGCCUCAAAACAAUUGGCAGCCGGCGUACUUGUUUCGGAGCGCAGCACAUUUUGCGAUCCAGAUCAACGUACAGCGGCAUCCAAGAAGCCUUAUUUAACGCUCUUGACCUCGGAUCAGGUAGGGAUACCCGCUGAACUUAAGCAUAUCAAUAAGCGGAGGA